Molecule: non-coding RNA, 1355 nt
Organism: Prunus avium (sweet cherry)
Lineage: Eukaryota; Viridiplantae; Streptophyta; Magnoliopsida; Rosales; Rosaceae
Source: RefSeq, a predicted model, not a curated record
AAAUUAGGGUUUGCUGAUUUUUAUUUUAAAUAUCCAGUUUUAAGAAGAAUAAUAACAAUGCACAAGGAGCGCAGUCCAGGGGAAGUGUAACCACUGUAAGAGAAAAAGAAAAAGAUGCGAUUGUGGGCGGGGACUAAAAAUAAAAGCGGGAUCUGAUUUUUCACAAGUGAAACCCCAAUUUUUCAAAAGCUCCCUCUCUUUCUCACUCGCACUCACACUCUCGCUCUCUCUCUCUCUCUCUCUUCUCUCGUUCCUUCUCACUCUCACAAUUUCUCUCUUCUCUUUCACUCUUUCUUUCUCACUCUUGCUUUGCCUCUCUUUCUCUAUCGCUGUGGCUAGCUCGUGCUCUCUCAGUGGCUCGCUCACCCCUCGCUCAGUCUCUCUUCCUCCAUUGUCUUGCUGGGAAGGCAACAAAUCAAUAUUAUGGAAAUGAUUUGAGGAAUAGGGUCAUGAGAGAGAAUCGCAGACAUAAGAUGGUGUGGGCUACAUAUAAUUUCCCGCACUCUCAAAUUAAGUUGUAAAGCAACCGAAGCCUUGGGUAUCACAGAUGAAGAUGCAUUUUCAUGUUUAUUACGAUUUUAGAUGAUGCGAAUGUUGUAGCUGACAUUCAUGCAUAUGCUAAUCUAGGUAUCACUCAGGGUAAUGCUUUAAUAUUUUAUAUGCCUUAAGACAGGAAAAUCUUGAAGAGUGACUAUAUGAGAUGGAGAAAUUGAAUAAUCCCUUUCUUUUCACUUCAGCAGUAUCUAAUUGCUUCCAAAUCACCAACAAGCCCAAGUGUAAAAACUCUGUUCAGUUUCAAUGACGAUUGUGUUGUUGAGGCUUGAGAGUUAUAUUGUUUCUAAGCAGAUUAUAUGAUAUUAUGUGUUGGUUUUGUGAUUUCUCAAUAGGGUUGUUUCUUGUAACUUGGCAUUCUCUUCUACUGAGAAACAUUCAUGCAUUUGCAUAAAUGAAUGCUUUUAUGUAGAGGUUAUUGUUGUUAUAAUACUUUCUGUGCCAAUAUUUAAAUUGGCUUUUAAUUCCAGUCCGUGUUGGUACCCAACUUUUGCAUGAAGAAGAAAGCUCAGGGAAUUGGAUUUAUGCUUUUUUUGCUAAUUGUGUUGAUAAUUUUUCUCGCUGAUUGAUGUGUACAUGGAGGCUUAAACUACAAAGACAAGUGCUACGGAAAGUCAAGCUUCUAAGUUAGAAAUUCUACGUUUUACUAUACUAGAUAGUUUGGUUUAUUUCAGCAUGUAUUGUUUUCAAUGUAAUUUUUUUUAAUGUUUUUUUAGUAUCAUUUCUCAAGAUAGUUAACAUGUUAUUACGAGUUUUUGAAUGUUUGUACCUAAAUAUUCUAUUUUAGUGGAUAUUAAAUUUCA